RNAcentral lists this long non-coding RNA (6253 nucleotides) under Bemisia tabaci. Its description in RNAcentral is "lncRNA ENSSSA3NGG011043". Lineage: Eukaryota; Metazoa; Arthropoda; Insecta; Hemiptera; Aleyrodidae. The record is from RNAcentral.
UCUACCUAAAUUUUUUCCUUAUAUUUUAUCUUGCUAUUUGCUGAAAAAAUGUAUGAUAUUCUCAAACACUGAAGCAGAAGGUUGCAGGAACUUACACUUUCGAAAGUGGCAUGUAUCAGAAAACUUCUGUCAAAUAAAGGCUCUUUCCAGACCUCACCACUAUUUCAACCUUGACUUAGAAUCAUUGUUUCCUUUUUUCAGAAGAUCGAGAUUUACACCAGAAAAAUGAGAAUCUUGUCAAAGAAUUGCAAAAGGAGCGCCUUAGAAGCCAAACACUAUAUUCUGAUUUGACCUACUUGCAAUUGGAGAAUCUCCAAUACAUGAAUACCCAUGGUGCCAUUCGUGCAGCUCAGUCAUCCCUAAGAUCUGAAAUUCCUAAAUUAGAAAAUCGAGUACGAGAGUUGAUUACUGAUUUAAUCAGUGCAAGCAGUCAUUUGGGCCCAUUGCAAAAUUCCAUUGGUAUAAUCAGAAAUCUAACUUUAGAUCUUCAAGGUCAGGAAAACAGCAACAAUUCCAUCAGCUCACCCGCUCCUCCACGAUACGUCAAUGCAAUGGGUCAAAAAAGAAUGAAUUUAGAAAUUUUUCCCAAAAAUAUGGGUGUAGCUCUUAACUCCAUCGAAGAGGUUUCCCAAGAAAUUUCGACCACUUCUCCGCAAGUGAGUGCUAAAAAGGCUCCCCGCUAUGAAAGGAAAUGCAAGAAAGGCCUUAGGCAUCUUGUCAGUACAAGAAAAAGUUUUAGAGGAAGAAGUUCCGAAGUAUCCAAAGAGCCUAGUGAUCAAAGCAAUGUCUGUUUGUCAAACACCAACCACCACGAAGAAGGAGACAGAGUAGAGGAUUUUAAAUCCCCACAGUCUGUGCACUGCGAGGAAAACUCACCCAAAUGCUCUAACAAAUCAGACUCCGGAAGUUCAAUGGAGUUGACUCCAAAAGUUGGAAAUGCAGGUGUGAGUGAAGACAACACUACACCUCAAAGUGAAGACAGUCCAUUGAGAUGUUCCAGGAAGUCAUCAUCAACCCUGAAUCCCUCUUCAACUCCAAGAAAAUAUAGUGAUGUUCUGAAAAGUGCUGAAAAACGCAAUGAUGGAAUUUCCCCUGUUUCAAGAUGUAGCAAUUUAGAAGCAGAACCUCAACAGGAGUUUUCAUCUCCAUUCAGUGAUAUUGAAUCCACAUUGCAGGGGAUAACUGUCAGAAGAGGCACUAGCCAUCGCAAAGUCUUGAGAACAGAACCCUCUUUCAGUGGCAGCUAUAUCCCUCACAGCUCAACAGAAAAUAUUGUCUGCAAGAUAGAACCUAUAGAUGAGUUAGAAUAUAGUAAAGUCUCAAACUCUACAAACGGUGCCAAUUUUCAUAAGGUCAAAGAUACCUUCAGUUUCUAUGCUUUCGAACAGUCUUGGAAGCAAAAUGAAUCUAUAAAUUCAAAUGAGAAUGAGUGUACCUUAAAAGCACUUGCAGAUAAUGAAGAAAAUCUUACGCCAAUAGUCAACAAGGGGAAGAAGGUGAAAAAGACUAGAAAACUGAAAUCAACCUCAAGUAGCUGUUCUCUGAAUAGAACCUCGCUUAUGUCUGCGAAUGAAGUUAAUAUUGCAGCUAAUUUGUAUAAUUCAACUCCAAUUGAAUCAUCCAAACCUCAACAGAAAAAAGAAAACCACUGGCAACGUUGGCCUCAUCCACGAUAAUUGCAUCAAAUGAUUCAGCUGUGUCUCAAGAAUCCAACUUUAUAAAUUCUGAUUCAGUAUUGUCUCCCAUCUUGAAGUCAAGGACUGACCAAAGCCCCACAAUGUCACCCUUGUUCACAGCUGCUCAGAGAAUAGUGGUAAGAGGACUUAAUUUUUUUUUAUUAAUAUCUCCUUUAUGGUGUUAUGUUCUUUUAAAAAAGAGUGUACGUAAAUAAAAAAUUUAGGAAUAUUCUAGAAAAUGGCAUGAUAUUUUAACCCUGGUCUGAGGGUUGAGCUUUUUUUUUAAUCCAAUGAAUUAAAGGUCGCAUGAACUUAAAUGACGGCAUAUGAUAAAAAAACAUUGUAGUCCAAAGAUUUUAAAACAACAAUUAUUUUUACUUGGCGCGUGCUUCGCCUAAAGUUUGAGAUUUUUUGGCUAUUCUUAGCAAUUUUAAUUAGAUCAUUGCUGUCCAAAAUCUACCAAUUGGAAAAAACUUAUUUAAUAUUUUGAUGAGUAACAAGGUGUCUACCUGUGGCAUUACCUGGAAAGUCCAGAAAUGAUACUGUUUUUUUGAGGGCGGUCCGAUAGCUCUGAAAAAGUACACAAAUUCUGCAAGAAGGUUCAACAUUUUUUGCUUCACACAACGCGUGGUUUUUAGAACAGCCUGGAAAGAAUACAAUCCCUUGCACAUUGAUUCUUGAAGCAGUAUUUGCUUGCAAGAUCGUGAUUGGGCUGUCAGUUGUACUUCAGACCACCAAUAGAAUUUUGUGGCUACUUAAUUUUGAUCGAGAUUCAAGCAUGAACUAUAGUCGGCAAUCUGAUGAAAGAUAUCCAGGCACUUAACUUUCCUUUUACUGUUAGUCUCAGAGAUAUCGCUCAAAAGCUCAGUAAGGUAUUUUUUUAUUGUAUUUAAGCUGGAGUUAAACCUUUGAAAUUUUUGGGCUCUGGAAGCUGUCAAUUUGUUAAAUAAAAUGUUGACCUUUCAGAGCUCUUUUGCAGAAUCGACAAAAUAGAGGACAAAAUACGCAAUAUCUAAGUGGGACACCACAAGACCUCCCUUCAUAAACCUCCUCUUAAAGGUCUAAUCUGAAGAGGAUAAUCUUACCGCUUUCAGGAUUGUUCAGUUCUGCGAUAUUUUGCAGUCUAAUUUCUUGAGACAUAACUCUAAUCUUCUCUCACGAUAUUUUAAUCUUUUAUGUCAGAAGAAGGACAAAUAUUUUUUAGAAUAGAUGACACGCUCGGUUAUUAAUUUUCAAAAUUCAUAGAAUGUAAGUCCAGCCACCAGGAUUUGGUCUCCAUAAAAGUUUGAUUUCGGGAAUUCCUGAUAGGUGCUUCCAUUCAGGGAUGAAAAUUUAGCUGUUUCCAAUGGGGAUUAAUUCCUCAUAAAUGCUUAACAGUCAUUUGACGGAUUACGGAACAUUUUGUAAUCUCAUGAUUUUACAAAUUGUUUUCUUUCAUUUUCAUUUAUUAAACAUCAAUUGUGAAAAGUCAUAAAUACUGAAAGGGGUGAUUUUGCUUUGACAUUGGCCCCAGUGUCUAUUGAAACGAUAGAAAUGAACCAACGAGAAAUCUACUUGAGGGCAUUUUAAACGUUUAGAUGGAGACUGAUUGUUGGAAUGCAAGAGUCACAAACAACAGAUAAGAAUUCAGAAGGACACUUGUCCAGCUAAACCUAGAUUUUUUGAUGCACACUGUGGCUGUUUGUCAACAGUUGGUAUUCUGUUCAGCUGAAAUUCUUUCAUUAUAAUACUUUUUCGUCUUUUUUUACCCUGAUUGGCAUGUUUGGUAAACAGCUACAACACCUUUAAAAAUUUUUCAGGCUCCCAAAAUGACUCCAAUGAAGGAAGGCCUAGGAGGAGAGCUGCCAACGCCGCAAAUUACAAAGAGCCAUCUUUGAAUGUGUAAGUAAUUUUCUAUCAAUAUUUAUUGACUCUAUAUGUAUAGGUUUAACAGUAUCUACAUUUGCAAGAAAUUUGGAACCUUUAUAUUCGAAAGUUCGAAUCUACAGUAAAAUGCCUGAGAAAAACAUCUUUAAUGAAACAAAAAUACUAGGUAGGCUGAAAUUUUUGUAGUACAAAAGUUUUACAUCGCUGAAUUUUGUUCCAAAAUAUUAACUAUGAGAUCAUGAGCUCUAUUGUGUGCCUAUCAAUAUUCUGUGAAGCUAUUAAUGCUUCAAAAUUUCUUGAAAACCAAAAUGUAAAAAGUCUUAUGUUAGGUUAGGUUAGGUCCAUAUUUAUGAAGUAUGUAUGGAAUACCAUGAAAUUUAGUUCCGACUAAAAUUCGCUGUUAUUGAUAUAAUGUUCCUUAUGACUAUCUCAGUAUGAUGAGCUUUCAAAUCGAAAUCUCUAUGUGCCAAUCUUGAGAAAGUAGGGCCGAAAAGUAAAUUUUUCGGCCUUCUUACCAGCAAUUUCUAUUUGAGAUGUGAGACCGUUGCUAUGUUUGUCUGGAUGCUGCGCCGCACGCUGCUUUCAUUCGGAGGCUUGCGAUUCUUUUUGUCCGUCUUAUCUUCCUGGCUUGUGAGGGAACAAAAGCUCUUCUCGACCGCCUAUAAAAUGUGGCAACCAUUAUGUGGUUUCUAUUUUUAAUAUGAUGCUACAUACAUUUUACUUGCUGUGAUGGAUAGUAACGCUGUGAGAGCAAUUUUCAGUAUUAGUUGUGCAUGCACAUCCUAAGAUUGCACUGCGCAUAAGGGCAGUUGUGUGGGAUGCCACUGUAGCCCGCAUCAGGCAUGUUGUGCAAGCAUUAAAUCUGCUGUAAUUCUGUUGUUUUUCAUUCAACUUUUAUUCCUUUCUCUCUAAUUUUUAAAAGAAUGCUCUGGACCAAGGCCAUGUACAGCAACUAAAAGUAAACUUGUGUUGUUCGUAUUCAUUUCUACUUGACCUGAGUUAUCUGGGAAAGAUAAGUCUGAACAAAACUGGAGGAAUCUCAUUUAGUUGCAAUAUUUCAAGAUAAGUUGUUGUAAUUUGGAGUGAAUGGUAAUUUCCAAAAAAAAAAAAAAAAAAAUUCUAUCAAUUUGGGUUUUACCCACUGUCAAUUACUGUAUUUGUUUUCGAUUACCUAUAUACAUUUUUUCCUUUACAAUAAUACGGAAAUACCGCUGUUCGGAAUCUAUGAAUUUGACAUUUUUUUGAAGAAAAUGUAAUUUUUUAUAUUUUAUUAUUCCGUAUUUGAUUUAACUCAAGCAAAUAUCUUUUUUCUGUUUCAGGAAAUUGCGCCGCUAGCUUGCUGAAUUAUAUCUUUAAAUUUAUAUUUUAUUUUUAAUUCAUAUUUAUAUAAUUUUAGCGUUAGGAUAAGCAUAGUUAUAAGUACAGAAUGGCUUGAAGUCAGCUAGCAUUUUUGAGCGUCUCUUAUACAUAAAUAUUAAUAUACAAAUAAUAACUGCACUAUCCAAACUAUCAAACAAUCUUUUAAGGAUAGUACAAAUCAAGGUUUUAAGCUGUUUUAACAGUAAUGUUAGCAAUGAUACAUUAAAACACAAUUAAACUUUGAAUAGUAAAUAGAGAAAUGAGGAAUCGCUUUCAAUACUGAAAAAAGCAAUUUCAGUCAAUUGAAUAAUGGGCCACUAAACAAGGUCUUGAGGGGGAAAAAAUGAAUCAUGUUUUUCUCUUCAAAAUACAUAAAAAUCGAUUUACACAACAGGAAGUGUGGAAAUCAACUCCCAAAUAAGAUAUUACCAAAUAUUUAACGCAGAUCAAAUAAAAGUCAGAUUAUACAGAUGUUCUUCUUGUCAUUUGUUCAUCUGCCUUUCAACCAAUGUUAAUUGGAUCGCGUUUAACAGAAAGGAACCAAGCCACAUCAGCUAUUGCCAAAUUUAACUGGGCAAGUCAAUUUUUUACGAGAGAACAUUUGUGCGGAUUCCUUUGAAAAUUUUAAGGAAUUUGCUUCGUACUACGGAAAAAAUUCUCCGAAAUUUGCACGAAAAUCCGCCCAACCGUUUUCAUGUAAAAAAUUAAUUCGCCCAAAUAAAUUUGACAAUAGCUUAUGUGGCUUAGUUCCUUUCUGUUUAACGCGGUUCAAUUGUAAACACUUUUAUCUUGUUUAGGAGUUGAUUUCCAGAUUUCCUACUGUGUGAUUCGCUUUUCUCAUGAAAUUUUGAAGAGGACUUAUGGAGCGUAGUCCAAAUUCAUACCUCAUCUAGUGGCCCAUUACUACCUGAAGAUGUAAGGUUCAAAUCUAUAAAAGUCAGCCGUAUUUAUUGUGUUUUAUAUUUAAUGAUGUUGAACAAUCCUGAAAGUUGUGUUCACCGAUCAGGAUUAGCCUUAAUUUUAAUUGUGUUCUCUGUGGGAAAAAUAAUUUUUCCUUAAUAUUAAUAGUUAAUAAUUUUUAUAUUCUGAAGACUGAGUAACUUAAUUUAUGUUCUAUUGUUCCCUUCAGUAAGAAUACUUGCCCACAUCAGCUAACUGUGCUCAGUCAUUUGGUUUUUACAUUUCUGAUCAAUUUUAAAACUAAAAUGUUAUUUUAAAACUAAUAAAUCAUGUUCCCAAUGCAAAGAAAGUUAUUAAGAAUUUCCAACCACUUCAAUUAUUGCAUGACCUAAAAUUACUAAUUUUUCACUCUUUCAAGUAAUGAUGAGUACUUUUCAUAUUUUGUGGUGCAA